UACGAAGGGGGCUAGCGUUGCUCGGAAUCACUGGGCGUAAAGCGCACGUAGGCGGCUUCUUAAGUCAGGGGUGAAAUCCUGGAGCUCAACUCCAGAACUGCCUUUGAUACUGAGAAGCUUGAGUUCGGGAGAGGUGAGUGGAAUUCCGAGUGUAGAGGUGAAAUUCGUAGAUAUUCGGAGGAACACCAGUGGCGAAGGCGGCUCACUGGCUCGGUACUGACGCUGAGGUGCGAAAGCGUGGGGAGCAAACAGG
Molecule: ribosomal RNA, 253 nt
Filed under: uncultured bacterium
Lineage: Bacteria
Description: partial 16S ribosomal RNA
Rfam family: Bacterial small subunit ribosomal RNA
Source: RNAcentral